GGCGAACGGGUGAGUAACACAUCGGAACAUACCCAGUCGUGGGGGAUAACACUUCGAAAGAAGUGCUAAUACCGCAUACGUCCUGAGGGAGAAAGCGGGGGAUCUUCGGACCUCGCGCGAUUGGAGUGGCCGAUGUCAGAUUAGCUAGUUGGUGGGGUAAAGGCCUACCAAGGCGACGAUCUGUAGCUGGUCUGAGAGGACGACCAGCCACACUGGGACUGAGACACGGCCCAGACUCCUACGGGAGGCAGCAGUGGGGAAUUUUGGACAAUGGGGGCAACCCUGAUCCAGCCAUUCCGCGUGAGUGAAGAAGGCCUUCGGGUUGUAAAGCUCUUUCGGCAGGAACGAAACGGCGCGCUCUAACAUAGCGCGUUAAUGACGGUACCUGAAGAAGAAGCACCGGCUAACUACGUGCCAGCAGCCGCGGUAAUACGUAGGGUGCGAGCGUUAAUCGGAAUUACUGGGCGUAAAGCGUGCGCAGGCGGUUGUGUAAGACAGGUGUGAAAUCCCCGGGCUUAACCUGGGAACUGCGCUUGUGACUGCACGGCUAGAGUAUGGCAGAGGGGGGUGGAAUUCCACGUGUAGCAGUGAAAUGCGUAGAGAUGUGGAGGAACACCGAUGGCGAAGGCAGCCCCCUGGGCCAAUACUGACGCCCAUGCACGAAAGCGCGGGGAGCAAACAGGAUUAGAUACCCUGGUAGUCCACGCCCUAAACGAUGUCGACUAGGUGUUCGGUGAGGAGACUCAUUGAGUACCGCAGCUAACGCGUGAAGUCGACCGCCUGGGGAGUACGGUCGCAAGAUUAAAACUCAAAGGAAUUGACGGGGACCCGCACAGCGGUGGGUUGAGUGUUGGGGAAUUAAUUCGAUGCAACGCGAAAACCUUACCUACCCUUGACAUGUACGGACCCUGCUGAAAAAGGGUGGGGGGUGCUCGAAAGAGAGCCGUACACAGUGCUGCAUGACUGUCGUCAGCUCGUGUCGUGAGAUGUUUGGUAAGUCCCGCACGAGCGCAACCCUUGUCAUAGUACCAGCACGUAAUGGUGGGCACUUCUAAGG
RNAcentral lists this ribosomal RNA (1057 nucleotides) under uncultured bacterium. RNAcentral describes it as "bacterial SSU rRNA". It matches the Rfam family "Bacterial small subunit ribosomal RNA", at positions 97 to 1146 of the family's 1533-position model. The record is from RNAcentral.